GCAGAAGGAUCACUAGUGAAUAUACAUCCACUCAUCCGGAUGCCGGUUUUUGACGCCCACCCCAGAUAUCCGCAAACCGUCUUCUCUGGGGGUUUUUCUUGGACACACCUCGCCAACCAACUUGUGUUCGUAGAAGUAGGUGUGUACGUCGCUUAACCCCAAAAUCAACACAACUUUCGACAACGGAUCUCUUGGUUCUCCCA
This 203-nucleotide unclassified non-coding RNA is filed under the name uncultured fungus. RNAcentral describes it as "partial contains 18S rRNA, ITS1, 5.8S rRNA". Lineage: Eukaryota; Fungi. The record is from RNAcentral.